This 220-nucleotide unclassified non-coding RNA is filed under the name soil metagenome. RNAcentral's name for it is "partial internal transcribed spacer 1". The record is from RNAcentral.
CAAAUUUCUUUCAUUGCUCUUUUCGCAUUGCGCGAUCUGAGCAAAUGAAGAAACUAAAUGUGCACCUGUACUUGUACGUUGGCGGCUGUUCAGUGCUUUGUGCUGAACUUGCAUUAAAUUGCAAAGGCCGUCAAUAGUGUUUUUCACAAAAACGCUUUAAGAUUUUUCCAGCAACUUUUAUUUUUUAUUGUUUAUUACUUUUUCUCUUGAAAACCAAGAA